UAUGUGAUCGUCUCUCGCAUAUCAAUAAGCGGAGGAAAAGAAACUAACAAGGAUUCCCUUAGUAACGGCGAGUGAAGCGGGAAGAGCUCAAAUUUGAAAUCUUCAAGGUUUUACCUUGACGAAUUGUAGUUUAAAGAAGUGUUUUCUGUUGAAGUUUUGGUAAAAGUUCUUUGGAAUAGGACAUCAUAGAGGGUGAGAAUCCCGUAUUUGACCAUUAUUUUCAGCUGUGUGAUACACUUUCAAAGAGUCGGAUUGUUUGGGAAUGCAGUCCAAAAUGGGUGGUAAAUUUCAUCUAAAGCUAAAUAUUGGCGAGAGACCGAUAGCGAACAAGUACCGUGAGGGAAAGAUGAAAAGAACUUUGAAAAGAGAGUUAAACAGUACGUGAAAUUGUCAAAAGGGAAGCGUUUGACACCAGUGUUGUUUUCUCGAAAAUCAAUUAAAAAGAGUUAGAUUUUGUUGUGUAUUGACCUUAACAGCUUGCAUUUCAAUUUUCUUGCUUUUUUUAAUGCACUUUUCGUUUAACAAGUCAACAUCAGUUUCUUUUGUUGUAAAAAGGUCAUUGGAAGGUGGCUUUCUUUUCGGAGAAAGUGUUUAUAGCCUUUGACUCCUGCAAUCGGAGAGACUGAGGUCUGCAGCGUAGAUCCUUCGGGGUUAGAUACAUUUGUGCUAAGUUAUAGCUUUUUAUAGACAACUUGUUGACUAUGAUUAGUCUUGUAGCUUACUCGCUUAUGCUAUUUUACCUACGCUUAGGAUGUUGAAGAUGUAGCACAUCA
RNAcentral lists this ribosomal RNA (773 nucleotides) under uncultured Neocallimastigales. RNAcentral's name for it is "partial large subunit ribosomal RNA". It matches the Rfam family "Eukaryotic large subunit ribosomal RNA", at positions 24 to 642 of the family's 3401-position model. The record is from RNAcentral. Lineage: Eukaryota; Fungi; Neocallimastigomycota; Neocallimastigomycetes; Neocallimastigales.